UGCCUGCCUGGCCGCGGAGGGCGCGGCCGGGCUGCUCGCCGCGGCGGGCGGCCGUUCCGUGACGGCCGCCGGGCGGC
This 77-nucleotide transfer RNA is filed under the name Streptomyces sp. MP131-18. RNAcentral's name for it is "tRNA-Ala". Lineage: Bacteria; Bacillati; Actinomycetota; Actinomycetes; Kitasatosporales; Streptomycetaceae. The record is from RNAcentral.